GAGGGGCUCCAGCCCUGGGAGCAUCUCUGUGGCCUCCUCUCAACUGAAUAAUGAAACUAUUAACAAGCACACUAAUCUGGACACGUGUUGUGGCACUGAUGCAGCCAUGAGAAGUUCCUGAUGGAACCCAUGGAUGAAUUCAGCAGCUGCUGCAUCAUUUGGUCUGGUUUGGGGCAUUUGUGCCUUGAGUUGUUGCUCAUUUCAGUUCACAUCUCCCCUCCUUCCCUGGUAUAGCCAGGACUCUUUUCUCUCAACAGUUUGAGAAACUUGUGAACAGCUGAAGAGGAGAGACAGAAGUAAUUAUGGAGAUUUGCAUAGAUCUUGCAUUUCCCAUGGGAUUUAAUGUGAAUUUUUGUGCUCUGUGUGGUGCAGGUGAUAAUGGGGAAGGAAAGAGUGGUGACAGAAAUCCAUGUAAAGCAGCAGAAUACAUUUGAGGAGGUGUGAAUUUCAAAGAGGUGUUGUAGCAGUGAAAAUGCUGCAUACUCGUGUUUGGCUUGCUGGAGAAGGAAUUGCAGGUGCAAAUGCUUGGAUAUGUAUUCCAAGUGAGAUUUGGGCUUCCUGUUAUUUCUGGGCUUUUUUUUAAAGCUGACCCAUAUAUCAUUUCAUGGAUUAGUAAGAUUUUUUUCCUACUCAGUUCUGUGAAUGUAUCAGUGACUCCUGUUCCAUUUUAAUUUUCAUGGUUGUUAUUUCAUUUUCCGUAAUUAAGUAUGUGGCUUCCAUAAGAGACACUAUCUCUAAACUGCUGGUGUUGUGUGGCAAUUCCAUCUUAUGUGAUUUUAAUUUGCAGGUUUUUUUAAAAUACCUCUUGCAGUUAAUUUUUUAUUGCUUAUAUUGUGGUGGCCUUGGCAGUGCUGGGUUAACAGUUAGACUUGAUGAUCUCAAAGCUCUUUUCCAGCCUAAAUGAUUCUGUGAUUCUUUAUUAUUGUACAGGUUUUCCAGUAGAUAGAAUCAGUGUUUACAGGCAGGAUUUGCUGUAUGUAACUCAGGUGCCUUUUACUCAGGCUUAAGUGAGUAAUUUAAUUUCAUUCUCAUGAAAGCUGAAUGCUGUUUGCACAGAUUAAAGGAUAAAGAAAUACUUUUCCCUGCAUUUCAGCCCCCACAUAUAUGUGAGUGGAUGCUUAUCACAGACAGAAGGUAUCAGCCACCAGUUUGUACUGGGAGACAGCUUGGUAUAAAUAACAAAUCCUCUAAUUAAAAGCCAACAGAUCCUAUUUGACUUAUUUUAGUCCUCAAGCUGGGAUCAGCCUUUCUCUCUUGCUAUGGCAUGGAGCAUCCUUUGUUUAACAAACACCAAGGGGGAAUCAAGUGAGGGAGGAAAAAACAGCCCUUCUGAGAGGCUGCAGCCGUGUGCAAGUGUUUGAAGUUGUUAUUUUAAGAGCUUAUUUUAGCGACUUUUGAGCUGAGCAUUGAGAAUAUAUAGAGCAGCAUUUAGGGAAAAUGCUAAUGUGGUGGUGGCUUCCUUUACCAUGAGCUGCAGCUCUGCCAGAAAAGCUGAAAUGUGCCAUUUAAGGAACACCGAAGCUUUGAGGGAAGUUUGAACUCAGCUGGAUUUAGAAACUUGCUGGAGUGCACCGGAUGCUGGGGGAAACCAGAACACACUUUCUGGAUUGUCAGACCAAAGGCAGGAAGGUUCCCACAAAGCCCUCCUCCUUGUGGAGCUUCUGUUUCUUAUUUAGAUUUUGUUUUUUAAUACCCAAAAAGCUUUUAGUGGUGUUCUGACAAUGGGGGCCUGGAAAUUGGGCUAAAUUAAAACAGGUUUUGUUUGUUUACUUAGAAGUGCUAACAGACUCAGACAGUCCCACUGCAUUUUCAGGGCUUACAUCAUUCUAAAAUAGAUUUAAUAGAUUCAAAACAAAUUUGAUAAUGAAGUAACUUCCACUUGGUGUGUUUGCAUCUAUUCCAAAGGAAAAGCUCAGCCUUGUGAGGUGUGCUGAACUGCAUUUGAUAUGAAAUAGUAAGAAGUUUAUUUUAGUUGCAGGAAAAUUUAAGAGAACACGAGGAAUAAAUGAACCAAUUGGAAGAUGGGAGACUAAAUGCAAGAGAAGUUGGGAACCUGAUCCUCAGGCCAGAGUCUGUCCUGAAUUGCACUGCUACGAGCUGAAGAGCACAGAAUUCCAUUCUAAGAAUGCAGGUUCUUGGUGGAUACACUAAAUCUACUUGAAGAACCUUAUGCUCCUUGUGGGGACUGGGACACCCCCUUAUCCAGCAGCCUCCAGGCAGCCUGAGCCAUCCUGGAUGAUGAUUAUGAUCUUCAAGAUUCCUUCCAACCCAAGCCAUCUUUGUGAUCCUUGGGCAUAUGGAACCAUCAGCUUUGUAAGGAGCAAAGAGGAACCACAGCAGGAUGCUGGAUGCCAACGUUUGUGCGCAUCCAAGUAAAGGUCUGUUCAUUCCUGUUUACAGUGUUGAAGAUUUACCAAUAAAAAGGCCUAAUUAGAAGACAAAUUAGAUUUUUAAUCACUCUGUUGCAAGAUAAAAAGCAUGGAGAUACAUAUAUAUAUAUGAUGUGUAUAUAUAUGCCUAUGUGCUGAAAUGAAUUCUCCAAUCCUCUAGUGGUUUUUUUAUUUGUAAUUAAAAAAUCUUUGUUCAGAAGAAGGAAAGAUCAACAUUUGUUUCAGCAGUGGUCAGUACAUUCUCUUCUCGUACCCUGUGCACCUAAUUCACCAUUUCCAGCCCCCAGUUCCCAAAUGCUUGCUUCCUCUUUGCCAUGGCAGAGUCCUCAGUCCUGGAUUGUUCUGAGAUCAUGGAACACAUUUUAAUCUCAAAAUCAUGGAACACAUGGAACACAUUUUUGAAGACAAAAACCUCAUUUCUGAGCUUGGAACUACAUGAAAUCUGCCAUGAUCUGUAGAAUAUCUCUACCUUGAGUUUUGGUGCCAAGGUUCAGCAAGGAACUGAGUAUUAAGCAACAAUACAUAUAAAAUCACAGACAAGAUGCUGCAGUAAUACCAUAAAAUCCUUCUCCAGUUCCUGCUUUCCUGAUCCACUUGGCAUAAAAUGUCUUCUUGACUUCUACUUACUAUUCUAAUAAAAACCACGGGGGUUUCUUCUCGCUGCUACUUGUUGUGUCAAAGAUCCAGUAAUUGGUACCAUGUGAAUUAACACUUUGCAGUGACAGAACAGAGUGCACAAACCACACUGAGAAAUGGGGUUCUGGAAAAUCACUUCAGCAUUUCAAUCUCUGGCAAACAUCAGGGCUGGAAACCCACAUCAAGUAGCUUAUGUUAGUCCUGCUGGUAACCACCUAUAUGAGUAUUUACAGCUCAGAUGUAAUCAUGAUAAAAAAUUAUUAAAUUGUUAUAUUUUUGUGAAAAUUCUGUUGUAUCUUCAUACUGGAAUUGUUUUAUCCUUGGUUUGCAUGUACUCCCUUGCAAUAUUAUACGCUUGUUAUAAUUUUAGUUAUUGGUAACAUGUUUAGCUUAGUUUGGUGCACUAAAAAUUGAGUCUGUGGUUCAUGAUAUUGACACUGUGAAACACAGUGAACAAUUAAUGACAGCAGAAAAAGAAUGAAAAAGAAAAAUCAGAGUCACAACACCCUGCAAAGUCUUAUGGUAUAUUUUAAGAGAUUGAUAGAAGGGCUUGAAUUCUCCAGCCUCCUGUGGGUUACCUUUACUCUCCAGGCUACUUGGAUCAUCUUCUCCCUGAUGUCCUUGACUUAAUUGAGCUGUAGUGUGAGAAACACUUGUUCAACAACUGCAGGCGCCGGCGCCGCAGGGGAGCCCUUCAGCUGGGCUGGAGAGGGAGGGCUCUGGGAUUCUCCAGGCUGCUCAAUCCAGCCCUCAACACACAGAGCUGGAUAAUGCCUUCUUGAAACCCCUCAGGCACUGGGUAGGUCUUUUGAUUGGAAAUCUUUUUGAACUAGAGUCACCUAUUGCAGCUCUCAGCCUUGCUGUUGCAUAAAAGAGGCCUUCAAAUUUCCCCCCUUUUGUCUGACAGGAUCCUUUUUUCAGCAGUCAGCCUACAUGGCCACAAUUUAAUCAUUUAAGGUGACAAAAAAACCUGACAAUGGGUUCUCAAUUCUAAUGGAGUCAUUUUUAGCUGGUAUUGUUAGAAAUGAAGUUAAAAAAUGAACACAGGCUUUCAAACUGGAAGCAACCGGGUACUUUUAAGAAGCUGUUCUGGAAAACUGGCUGAGCAGUGCUAAAGAAAGGGAAGGAAAUUUCAGUGUUGUCAAGACAAGUUACUUUAAUCCAGUAAAAUCAGGACUGUGAGAGCAAGAACUCUGUAGCUGGACAUGGCAACUUGCUGGUUCCAGACCUGGCCCAUCACUUAAUCACCUCAUCUUGGUUUCCGCUGGUUUUGGUGCUGGAUGAGGAGUAUCUAUGAGUAAGGCUGAAUAUACCCAUGAUAUGGGAAAAACGAGAUGGAGCAGCAGUUUUGCUGCUGGCAGGUGUCACUGAGAGCUUCCCGUGGCACUUGAGGCUGGGGCACUGACUGUGCAGUUCUCUUUGCCCUCCCAGUAAAUCCAGUCCAAACUGGUGACCCAGGGAACAAACAGGGAACUUUGGAACAUUCAAAGAGAGAUGUUAUAGAAAGCCCAGAAACCAUGGCUGAGAUAAGAAUUUAGCAGAGGGAAUUUUUCCACAAAAACCUCCAAGAGAUUUACAGUUGUCAUGUUUUUAGCUUGGAAAAUACAAUCCAACUCUCUCAUUUUCAGGUCUCUGACCAUUAUCCUCUGGUCUCAGCAGAAGAGGAGAGGUGUAAUUAACAGAUUCAUUAAUGCCAGAGUAAUAAUUAUGAACUGCAGGAGUGGCAGGAAUGCUUAUUGUAGAACUGAAUUCUGAUUUUUCAGAACUCAGGAGAAACGUAGGGAAAAGUAAAAAAAUUAGUGAAAAAUAUUAUUUAAUCUGAAUCUAAAAAUGCCAAUAUGUUUAAAAAAGAGGAAAUGUAGCAGGUAGCUUACACAGUGUGUCUGUACAUAAAUUUCAAUUAUAACAGUACUUAAAAUUAUGUAUUUUUAUUUCUUUCCUUGCCACAACAUUAUCAGAACCUGUCUGCUAUGAAGGGCACCAGGGCGGAGGGUUUGGGGUGGCACCAGGGCUGCGG
This is a long non-coding RNA of Neopelma chrysocephalum (saffron-crested tyrant-manakin), 5043 nucleotides long. RefSeq lists it as uncharacterized. NCBI's taxonomy places the organism in Eukaryota, Metazoa, Chordata, Aves, Passeriformes, Pipridae. The transcript is spliced from 3 exons. The record is from RefSeq and is a predicted model, not a curated record.